This 213-nucleotide unclassified non-coding RNA is filed under the name Hevea brasiliensis (rubber tree). The record is from RNAcentral. Lineage: Eukaryota; Viridiplantae; Streptophyta; Magnoliopsida; Malpighiales; Euphorbiaceae.
GGCAGUUUCAGUGACCCAACUUUUGCUAACAAUUUGAAUUUGUUAAAGGCAAAACUGGGUUAAGUGGUCUUCAUGAAAAAUGUAGCCCUAUGUCUAAACUUUCCAUGGUUAAAAUUUUAGGUCAAUUGGACCAGUAUAGAGAGAGUUAUAUUUGGACUAGUACAGAGAGAGUUAUGACUAAAUGAACAUGUACUGUUCAUUUGGUCAUUUUCU